Molecule: ribosomal RNA, 253 nt
Filed under: uncultured bacterium
Lineage: Bacteria
Description: partial 16S ribosomal RNA
Rfam family: Bacterial small subunit ribosomal RNA
Source: RNAcentral
UACGUAUGGUGCAAGCGUUAAUCGGAAUUACUGGGCGUAACGCGUGCGCAGGCGGUUUUGUAAGUCUGUCGUGAAAGCCCCGGGCUCAACCUGGGAAUUGCGAUGGAGACUGCAAGGCUUGAAUCUGGCAGAGGGGGGUAGAAUUCCACGUGUAGCAGUGAAAUGCGUAGAGAUGUGGAGGAACACCGAUGGCGAAGGCAGCCCCCUGGGUCAAGAUUGACGCUCAUGCACGAAAGCGUGGGGAUCAAACAGG